CGUCUUGGUUAUUGAUGUUGGAUGCUUGCAUUUAACUGAUUUAACAUUGAGACGAGUGGCGAACUGGUGAGUAACACGUGGGUAACCUGCCCUUGAAGUAGGGGAUAACACUUGGAAACAGGUGCUAAUACCGUAUAACAACCAAAACCACCUGGUUUUGGUUUAAAAGAUGGCUUCGGCUAUCACUUUAGGAUGGACCCGCGGCGUAUUAGCUUGUUGGUAAGGUAACGGCCUACCAAGGCAAUGAUACGUAGCCGACCUGAGAGGGUAAUCGGCCACAUUGGGACUGAGACACGGCCCAAACUCCUACGGGAGGCAGCAGUAGGGAAUCUUCCACAAUGGACGAAAGUCUGAUGGAGCAACGCCGCGUGAGUGAUGAAGGGUUUCGGCUCGUAAAACUCUGUUGUUGGAGAAGAACAGGUGUGAGAGUAACUGUUCACAUCUUGACGGUAUCCAACCAGAAAGCCACGGCUAACUACGUGCCAGCAGCCGCGGUAAUACGUAGGUGGCAAGCGUUGUCCGGAUUUAUUGGGCGUAAAGCGAGCGCAGGCGGUUUCUUAGGUCUGAUGUGAAAGCCUUCGGCUUAACCGGAGAAGUGCAUCGGAAACCAGGAGACUUGAGUGCAGAAGAGGACAGUGGAACUCCAUGUGUAGCGGUGAAAUGCGUAGAUAUAUGGAAGAACACCAGUGGCGAAGGCGGCUGUCUGGUCUGUAACUGGCGCUGAGGCUCGAAAGCAUGGGUAGCGAACAGGAUUAGAUACCCUGGUAGUCCAUGCCGUAAACGAUGAGUGCUAAGUGUUGGAGGGUUUCCGCCCUUCAGUGCUGCAGCUAACGCAUUAAGCACUCCGCCUGGGGAGUACGACCGCAAGGUUGAAACUCAAAGGAAUUGACGGGGG
This 895-nucleotide ribosomal RNA is filed under the name uncultured bacterium. RNAcentral's name for it is "bacterial SSU rRNA". It matches the Rfam family "Bacterial small subunit ribosomal RNA", at positions 43 to 919 of the family's 1533-position model. The record is from RNAcentral.